Sturnus vulgaris (Common starling) is the source of this 692-nucleotide non-coding RNA. The record is from RefSeq and is a predicted model, not a curated record. Lineage: Eukaryota; Metazoa; Chordata; Aves; Passeriformes; Sturnidae.
CUCCAGGAGGCAGCAGGGCUGCCCUGGUGUGAUGUCCUGUGUGAAAAAGGUCUGUGAGAGCUUGGAUUUGCAGCUUGGGGUAGAGGAGAGAGGUUCCAUGAGAGCUUGGAUUUGCAAUAUGGGAUAGAGGACAGAGAAAGAGGUUCCACAAAAACUUGGAUUUCCAGCAUGGGGUAGAGGAGAGAGGUUCCAUAAGAACCUGGAUUUCCAAUAUGGGAUAGAGGACAGAGAAAGAGAUUCCACAAGAAUCUGGAUUUUCAGCAUGGAAUAGAGGAGAGAGGUUCCACAAGAACCUGGAUUUUCAGCAUUGGAUAGAGGAGAGAGAGGUUCCACAAAAACUUGGAUUUCUAGCAUGGGGUAGAGGACAGAGGUUCCAUGAGAACCUGGAUUUGCAAUAUGGGAUAGAGGAGAGAGAAAGAGAUUCCACAAGAACCUGGAUUUCCAGCUUGGGAUAAAGGAGGGAGGUUCCACAAGAACCUGGAUUUGAAGCUUGGGAUAGAGGCUCUGUGAGAGCCUUUGUGGGGUGGAAUUUUGGAGAAGAAAAUCCCCAAAACCUGGUGGUUUUGUGCUUAUUUUAGAUGCAGGCACCUCCCUGCUAACACCUCACUGGAGUUACUGCUUGUCAGAGCUCUGGGAUCCUGGAAUUGGGAAUCUGGGAGAUGUGCACUGAUGCUGGGAGUCAGAGUCACUUU